AUAUGCAAGUUCCGGUUCCGGUCAUGUGAAUUUUACGUUAGGCUCUGUAAAAAGGGCAAGACCCGUAAAAAGUGCAAGUCUUAUAUUGUUUUGCAAUGACUUUGGUAUUUAAUUGGAGAAAAACAUCACUAAUAAAGAGGGUCGACGUUCGUUUCUUCAAGAUUGGGCAAAAAAACAUUACAAUGCGGUUCGCAGUGCGCAGGCUACUGUCCCCCUUCAAGAGCACCCAGGUCAUACAAGCUGAACACGGUUGACCUGCACACCUAACAGUGGAAAUAAUGAAACAAGUGAUCACACAUCCACCCACUUUCUGCCCGGAACAACAGUUACAGUUACACUCUGAGAUAAGAACUGAACAGUCAAAACCGCAUAGCAGAUAUUUUUGACCUAAUCAAACACUGGUUAGUCACACACGUUUUAAGACAC
Molecule: long non-coding RNA, 426 nt
Organism: Dreissena polymorpha
Lineage: Eukaryota; Metazoa; Mollusca; Bivalvia; Myida; Dreissenidae
Exons: 3
Source: RefSeq, a predicted model, not a curated record